This 310-nucleotide long non-coding RNA is filed under the name Elaeis guineensis (African oil palm). Its description in RNAcentral is "long non-coding RNA (EGUI_LNC010286)". The record is from RNAcentral. Lineage: Eukaryota; Viridiplantae; Streptophyta; Magnoliopsida; Arecales; Arecaceae.
UUUCUAAAUUUUUUUGUAAGAGAAUCAAAUUGAACGGAUUGUUCUUCCUUCUAUAUGAUUGGUCAAUUUAAUAUCAGAGCAAUGAUCCUCUACAAUUAUAGGAGCCUUCAUUUAUAGUCUAGAUAUGUGAACAAUACAAGUGUACGGGAGAAGGGCUAUCCUUGCUUAGUGCAUAUUGAAUUAUAAAGAUGCGUGUAACUACUAAUUCUAUCGUAAUAGAUGAUGGGAUGAUGGAAUGUCUCAUACAACUAGAAAAGAAAAUUGACCAUCUUGUUAAGAUUGUGAUGCCUUUAACACAAGCAUUAGUAAC